Caretta caretta (loggerhead turtle) is the source of this 2032-nucleotide long non-coding RNA. RefSeq lists it as uncharacterized. The record is from RefSeq and is a predicted model, not a curated record. NCBI's taxonomy places the organism in Eukaryota, Metazoa, Chordata, Testudines, Cheloniidae.
UGGUAGAUUGUUGUUUUGGUAACACAAAUGGAUACAACUUGAUAUCCAUUUAGACAAUCUCUGUUUUGAAAUAGUUUGACCCUUGGAACAUUCUGUUAUAGAGAGAAAUAGUCUAGAUGACUUCCUGAAUGUUUUUGUCCUUUCUAGGUAGAAAGCUAGCGCUCUGCAAACAUCUAGCGUGUGAAGUGAUGCCUCCCUGCGGUCGGCAUGCGGUUUCAGAAAAAACACAGGGAGAACACCAUGGCCCAACAGAUGUCCAAUGAAUGAAGUCUACUGUCUUCACUGGCGGCGUGUGGCUUUGGGGAAAAAGAAAGAGCGGAAGAGAGACACUCCAUGAACACUGAGGAAGUUCCAUCUCAGACUACACAGUGGUAGAAAGGAACUACAGGGGUGGUUAGUCUGCACCACACCUUAUGCCCUCAGUUUGAAGCAUGAGGAGAGGAAGGGCACAGGCACGGACCAACAGACACUGCUAGCAAAAAUCUUCCUGUCUCAGAAGCAUAGCGCGCAUGCAUGCCCACAGUGGAAUACAGGUGUCCUAAAAGGAGGAAGAUAAUUAAGGAGGAUGGUAGUAGAGAAGAUUUUUUCCAGCCAAUGUCACUGUAACACCAAAGUGAUGUAAAGAGUAGGUUCCCUCUCUCUUCCCAACCAGCAUUACUGCUUUUGAGGCAGUUCAACUAGCUAGACACAGACUGCUAAUACAAUUCUAAUAGUUACACUAAGAGCAAUUUUUGCAGCAAUCCAAAUUAUCUGAAUUUUAUUAAUAUAAAGUUGGAUUUGGUUUCAUUGGUGAUACUAAUAUAAGGGCAUCACAUAUUCCAGAAUCUUUAUUAAAGGGUCAAGUUAUUUGACAAGUAUAAUUCGUAUUGAAUUUCUUGGCCAAAUUUGUUCCCCACUAUAUGGUCUAAAUAUAUUUCAUAUACCUCUUAUAUAUCCUUCAGAUAUAUCACUUCAUCUGUGUCAAACAGAAAGGUCACAGGAACUCUGGCAACACCAUAGGACCUAGAAUAUACUAUGCAUACCGUGGUUAUGCCUACAAUUAAACACCCAUGGCUGGACUGUGUCAGCUAACUUGGGUUGUGUGGCUCAGGUUGUGAGGCUGUAAAAUUGUGGUGUACACAUUUGGGCUCAGGCUGGCGCCGCGGCGCUAGGUCCCAGGUCCCAGUCAGGUCCCAGAUCUCAGGCUCCAGCGCAUGCCUGAAUGUCUACACCACAAUUUUAUAGCCCUGCAGCCUGAACCAUCUGACACGAGCCAGCUGACACAAGCCACCUGCAGGUGUUUAAGUGCAGUGUAGACAUACUCUAUAUGAAGAAUAUAGGGUAAUAUACUGUUUUAAAAUAAAAGUUUUAAUUUUUCCUGGUAUCUGAAGAACACAUAAUCAUAUUAGAAAAAUAUUGACAUUAUCUCCUAAAUUCUUUUCAUUAUCUAAGCUUUUAUUAUCUAAGUUUCUUGUGAAACAGAAAUUUUCUGAAGAUCAAAACAACCAAAAAUUUUUCUUUUACCUCAGCUAUAGUGAUGAUAGAGUCUUCCUAUUGACAUAAUGACGCCAAAAAAAGCUAAUUUAAAUGGGGUGCUAAUCAGGAUAAUUUAAAUAGUUCUUUGCUACCUAUGAAUAGCUAUGUUUGAUUUCUGGCUCUCUUUACAGCUUUUUUUAAAAAAAAAUAUAGUUGAUGGUAAAGUGAUUAUUUCUGUGCUAUCAUUUUAUGUAUACAUGAUCAAUUUAGUGGGGUUUUUUUUAUUUGGGAUGGGGUAGAGUAGACAAUUUCUUGUAAUAAUGAGAAAUCUUGUAAUACUUAAAUGUUUACUUGGAUUAAAAUUAUUGUAAUUUUAUUAAAAGAAUAAAUAAAAAUAAAAAGUUGUUUUGAUUCCACAUCCACUCAAUCCUUUGUUUCUCUGCUAAGGAUGAAAAUUUAGUGCCAAUUAUGAUUGUGGUUUUUGUGAUGUGGAUACCUGUUCCCAGAACUGUACCAAGACCUUGGAAUUUGCACUACCGAACAAGAGAGAGAAGGCUUUAUAUCCCAUUACAAAGUC